GGCCCUGCCCGUUUCGGGGUGCCGUUUUGGGGGCCCUGCCCGUUUCGGGGGGCCGUUUUCGGGGCCGUGCUGGUUUUUGGGUGCCGUUUCCGGGGCUGUGUCCAUUUUCGGGGCUGUGUCCAUUUUCGGGGUGCCGUUUUGGGGGCCCUUCUCGUUUUUGGGGUGCCGUUUUUGGGGCCCUGCCCGUUUUCGGGGCCAUGUCCAUUUUUGGGGUGCCGUUUUUGAGGCUGUGUCCAUUUUUGGGGCCAUAUCCAUUUUCGGGGUGCCGUUUCGGGGGCCCUGCCCGUUUUCGGGGCUGUAUCCAUUUUCGGGGUGCCGUUUUUGGGGCCGUAUCCAUUUUCGGGGUGCCGUUUUUGGGGCCCUGCCCAUUUCGGGGGGCCGUUGCGGGGCUCAGUCGUGGUACAUGCGCAGCAGGCAGGCGGUGAUGGCGGCCAUGUAGCGCUCCCAGAGCGCCUGGUGCCUGCGGGGGGGGGGGACAACUCGGGGGUCCCUCGCUUUUGGGGAGCCCCCCCGGCCCUCCAAACACCCCCAGCCCCCCCGGGCGCGUUCAGGGCUCCCCUAAUGGCGGCUGGGGGGACAUUCGGGGUUCCUGGUUUGGGGGGGUCACCCGAGGCCCGGCAGGUUCUGGGGGGAUUUGGGGGGAAUUUGGGGGGAUUUGGGGUGGUUUCAGGGGGAUUAGGGGUGGUUUUGGGGGUAUUUGGGGUGGUUUUCGGGGGUUCCAGGUUUUGGGGGCUCACCUGAA
This 742-nucleotide long non-coding RNA is filed under the name Chloebia gouldiae (Gouldian finch). RNAcentral describes it as "Erythrura gouldiae (Gouldian finch) lncRNA (ENSEGOG00005011403.1)". Lineage: Eukaryota; Metazoa; Chordata; Aves; Passeriformes; Passeridae. The record is from RNAcentral.